Molecule: ribosomal RNA, 423 nt
Filed under: uncultured bacterium
Lineage: Bacteria
Description: bacterial SSU rRNA
Rfam family: Bacterial small subunit ribosomal RNA
Source: RNAcentral
UCUUUCGCCAUGGACGAAAGUCUGACGGAGCAACGCCGCGUGAGUGAUGAAGGUUUUCGGAUCGUAAAACUCUGUUGUUAGGGAAGAACAAGUAUCGUUCGAAUAGGGCGGUACCUUGACGGUACCUAACCAGAAAGCCACGGCUAACUACGUGCCAGCAGCCGCGGUAAUACGUAGGUGGCAAGCGUUGUCCGGAAUUAUUGGGCGUAAAGCGGGGGGAGGCGGUUUCGUAAGGCUGAUGGGAAAUCUUGCGGCUCAACCGCAAGCGGCCAUUGGAAACUGGGAGACUUGAGUGCAGAAGAGGAGAGUGGAAUUCCACGUGUAGCGGUGAAAUGCGUAGAGAUGUGGAGGAACACCAGUGGCGAAGGCGACUCUCUGGUCUGUAACUGACGCUGAGGCGCGAAAGCGUGGGGAGCGAACAGG